AGCAGGAAGGAAUUUUCGUCAAUGGGGGCAACCCUGAACGAGCAACGCCGCGUGGGCGAAGAAGUCCUUCGGGAUGUAAAGCCCUUUUCCCUGUGAAGAAAGAAAGACGGUAACAGGGGAAUAAGCAUCGGCUAACUACGUGCCAGCAGCCGCGGUAAUACGUAGGAUGCAAGCGUUGUCCGGAAUUAUUGGGCGUAAAGAGCGCGCAGGCGGUCAAUCAAGUCAGAUGUGAAAUAUCCGGGCUUAACCUGGAGGGGUCAUUUGAAACUGGUUGACUAGAGUACAGCAGAGGAUAGCGGAAUUCCCGGUGUAGUGGUGAAAUGCGUAGAUAUCGGGAGGAACACCAGUGGCGAAGGCGGCUAUCUGGGCUGAAACUGACGCUGAGGCGCGAAGGCUAGGGGAGCAAACAGGAUUAGAUACCCUGGUAGUCCUAGCAGUAAACGAUGGAUA
RNAcentral lists this ribosomal RNA (450 nucleotides) under uncultured bacterium. Its description in RNAcentral is "bacterial SSU rRNA". It matches the Rfam family "Bacterial small subunit ribosomal RNA", at positions 350 to 815 of the family's 1533-position model. The record is from RNAcentral.